This is a small nucleolar RNA of Caenorhabditis elegans, 129 nucleotides long. The record is from Ensembl. NCBI's taxonomy places the organism in Eukaryota, Metazoa, Nematoda, Chromadorea, Rhabditida, Rhabditidae.
CCCGCGCCUAGAAACUCAGCGGUGUUUUGUCUUUAUGAUCAUGAGCUGGUAGCAGGUGCAAUAUUGAUUCGGAGUCUUACCGGCGUCCACCUUCUGAAGGGUGUGCGUUAAAAGUUCAUCCGAACAAUU